This 864-nucleotide long non-coding RNA is filed under the name Homo sapiens (human). Its description in RNAcentral is "HSALNT0119943". The record is from RNAcentral. Lineage: Eukaryota; Metazoa; Chordata; Mammalia; Primates; Hominidae.
AUUAUUUUGUACAUGUGUACUUAUUUGUACAUGAAUUUACACUGGAAGUGUGCAGUGCAGAGGCAGCACAACAGGUCUUAAGUUGGAUCCUCCAAUUUCUAGCUUUGUGACUUCAGAAAUGGAGAUGGGGCUCAGAGUCCCACAGCCUCCCACUGGCAGGCCCGAGUAUCAUCUGAAGCCACCCAGCUCUGUGCCUGCCUGCAGCCCCAGACCUCCAGCUUUCUACUAACGUCAGCAUUGCCUGCCCUGGGGCAACCCCUGUUUCUCCAUGUGUCUCCUCUGGGUCUGGUCAUGAUGCCUGGGGAGCCAAUGCUGCUUUGCUGUGUUGUAUCAUUUGGGAUCAACUUGCCUGACUCUUACAAAGGACUUGAAACCUUGGGGAGAUAAAUAAAAUUCAAGAUACCUCAGGCUCUCAGCAAGUCACAAGAAAACAAGAAAACAUGAUGCUGUCUGAGCAAUUGGUACAGGAAGCCUGGACACAUUGCUGAGGAAAUCAGAACUUCUUUGCAAAAGAUGGUGACAAUCUGUGGCCAAGAUGCUGCCGGGAGAUGAUUACAGGCACAGGAGAGGAGUUUCAGGCAGUUCCACUAAGAAAGUUCCCAUCUCAAGAGGAUGCUGUUUGAUUUCUUGUUAUUCACCAUCCGUGUGAUCCAUGGGGGGAAGAAAAGGUAUUAAAGAAGAGAAGCAUAUUAAUGUUAUUACUCCUUUCUAACUUUACAGAGUGGCUACUCUUUUAAAUUCUUUUGAGACAAACACCUGAAAGAAAAUGUUGAUAUGUGAGAUAAGCAAUAAGCAGUGUUUGAAUACAUGCAUAUGUUAAAGGACACCAUUAAAAUUAAAAAUAACUCUAGAAAGGAAACAAAG